GGGGAUGACGUCAAAUCAUCAUGCCCCUUAUGACCUGGGCUACACACGUGCUACAAUGGGCGGUACAAAGGGUCGCGAACCCGCGAGGGGGAGCCAAUCCCAAAAAGCCGCUCUCAGUUCGGAUUGCAGGCUGCAACUCGCCUGCAUGAAGCCGGAAUCGCUAGUAAUCGCGGAUCAGCAUACCGCGGUGAAUACGUUCCCGGGCCUU
RNAcentral lists this ribosomal RNA (208 nucleotides) under uncultured Anoxybacillus sp. RNAcentral's name for it is "partial 16S ribosomal RNA". It matches the Rfam family "Bacterial small subunit ribosomal RNA", at positions 1175 to 1382 of the family's 1533-position model. Lineage: Bacteria; Bacillati; Bacillota; Bacilli; Caryophanales; Anoxybacillaceae. The record is from RNAcentral.